AGUGAACGCUGUCGGUAGGCCUAACACAUGCAAGUCGAACGGCAGCACCGUAAGCGCUUGCUCUUACGGGUGUCGAGUGGCGUACGGGUGAGGCAUACAUCGGAAUCUACUUUUUCGUGGGGGAUAACGUAGGGCAACUUACGCUAAUAACACAUACGACCUACUGGUGAACGCAGUGGAUCUUCGGACCUUGCGCGAUUGAAUGCGCCGAUGUCGGAUUAGCUAGUUGGCGGGGUAAAGGCCCACCAAGGCGACGAUCCGUAGCUGGUCUGAGAGGAUGAUCAACCCCACUGGACCUGAGACACGGCCCAGAAUCCGACGGGAGGCAGCAGGGUGGAAUAUGGGAAAAGGGGCGCAAGCCUGAUCCAGCCAUACCGUGUGGGUGAAGAAGGCCUUCGGGUGGUAAAGCACUUUUGUUGGGAAAGAAAAGCAGCAGGUUAAUACCCCGAUGUUCUGACGGUACACAAAGAAUAAGGAACGGCUAACUUCGUG
Molecule: ribosomal RNA, 492 nt
Filed under: uncultured bacterium
Lineage: Bacteria
Description: partial 16S ribosomal RNA
Rfam family: Bacterial small subunit ribosomal RNA
Source: RNAcentral